RNAcentral lists this long non-coding RNA (4610 nucleotides) under Sus scrofa (pig). RNAcentral's name for it is "lncRNA (ENSSSCG00015030151.1)". Lineage: Eukaryota; Metazoa; Chordata; Mammalia; Artiodactyla; Suidae. The record is from RNAcentral.
UUUUUUUUUUUUUUUUCUUUUUUUUUUUUUUAGGGCUGCACCUACAGCAUAAGGAAGUUCCCAGGCUAAGGGUUGAAUUAGAGCUGCAGCCGUCAGCCUACACCACAGCCACAGCAACACCAGAUCCAAGCCAAGUCUGUGACCUACACCACAGCUCAUGGCAAAGCCGGCUCCUUAACCCACUGAGUGAGGCCAGGGAUCGAACCCAUAUCCUCACGGAUGCUAGCCGGGUUCAUUACCACUGAGCCACAGUGGAACUCCAGCAAAGGACAAUUUUAAAGUCUUUCUGGCAACAAAAAGAAAUCAAAUAUAAGACCAUCUCUUUCAACCAGGCCAGUGAAGGAGAAAAGCAGCAGGGAAACAUGGGGAAAAUUCUUUCCCCUGAUUUAUUUCUCUUAGGGCAACAAUGAGUUUGCAAUCCUUGAACAGGCCUGUUGGAUGAUGAAGGGCAAAAGUUCCAAAUGCCAGACACCUCUUGGGCCUCACUGAGAUCCCUUUUCCUUAUCCCUUGCCACAAGAAUUCUAAUUCUGAUAGGACAGCAACAUGCUGCUUCAGGCUGUUUUGCGUGCUGAUUCCCAGCCUCCUUUGCAACUAGAAGUCGCCAUGUGAACCAAAACCAGCCAAUCAGGUGCAAGCAGAGCACGUUCUGACCUUUUUCCCUCUUCCCUCUGCCAGGCAUGUAGGAUGCUAAGCCUGGCAGUGAAACACCUAUCCCAUGAACGAUGACAAUGAAACUCUCAUGUUACUAAAAUGGAGAAGCAAAAGCUAGAAGGCCUGAGCCCCUGGAAGGAUCCUGAACUGCCUUUCUCUGGAUUUGAAUGAGGAGAAUAACCUCCCAUUGGACUGAGUCACCCUAGUCAGUUUUCUACAUGUCAUCCUAGCUGCAGGAAUUCUGCUGAAACAAUGGAGUUGGAGUUUUCUCUCAUUGUCUCAUGGAGUUUUCUCUCAUAGCACUGCGGUAGAAACAAGCAUGAAUGCCAAAUCAUCUAAUCCUUGUAAUUAGUAAAUACUUUCACUCCUCUCUUUCAGUUAUUUUUAUAUUUUUGGCAAUCAUUGCAAUUGUGCCAAUUUCAUACUAAGUUCUUAGAAUGCGGUUCUGAGCUCAUUCCAAAACAGUGAUUCUCCAUAAAUUAAAUUAUGUUUUCUCUUCUUCUACCUGGUAGCAUUCCAAAGCUCAUCUGUGGAGAGAUGGAAGGAGAAAGGGAAGAAAAGCAAGAGUAAAUGAUCUUGUCUUCCCAACUUGCUCCAAGCAUGUCCAAGCUAAAAAGGAACCCCCCCCCUUUGGUGUCUGCAAUUGGCAAGGGGUGCAGACUGGGUUGUUAGCAUCCCAAGGGAAAAAGUGCUGUACAGACAAAAGACUUUAUAUAUGAAACCAGCCCUGCUACCUUCACAUGGGCUUUAUUUCUUUAGUGGGCUCUGGUGGGGUGGGAGAUUUUUGUUUGUUUUUUGUUUUGGUUUCUGUUUUCCAUCACACCUGUGGCAUGUGGAAGUUCCUGGGCAAGGUAUCAAACCUGCACUACAGCACAGUGAUCAAGCCACUGCAGUGACAAUGCUAGAUCCUUAACUCGCGGCACCACCAGAACCCCAGCUCCGGUGUUUUUAAGAAGACAAACUCUCCAUGUUGUAAAGCAAUACUAACUGGGUGCAUUUGCCAGUCCCAAGGAAGGGCAAAUAGUCCUGUCUUCAAAAUGCCCAGGCCCCAUCCUCAUCAGGCCUCAGGAACUUCCCUGGACAACAGGGGAGUAAGAGGGUAAAACUGUUUCACUUUUAAGUCCUCCAAUUAUUUAAAGCCAUUGUUCAGCCCACCUACAUGUGGUGUCCAAUUCUUUUGAAACUUUUCCCUACACAUUCUUUCAAAUGUUCUAGAAAUAAGACAGAAACCUGGAGAAUUACUGACCCAAAGUGAUAAAGGCGGAUAUGAUUUUAAAUCACACACAUUUUAAGCCUCCAUAAUGAUGUGAGUUAUCCCCACUUGCUUAAACACUAAGAAAAUGAAAACAAUCUUGAAUUUCAAAACACCUCUUGGGAAAAGAACAAGUCUCCUACUAGAUUAAAUUAUAAUUAAAAUGUCAAGGAUGUCACAUUCAUUCAAUUAAUUAAAAUAAGAUUUUGGGUCACAGUGUGCUCUACCUUAGGACUUCUCAACCUCAACACUAUUGGCAUUUUGGAACAAAUAACUGUCUGCUGGGUGCUGUCCUGUGAUUGAAGUUUAGCAGCAUCCCUGGGUAAAGACUCCCAAAAAUGUCCCCAGACAUUUCCAAAUGUCCCCUAGGAAGCCAAAUCACAUAUAGGUCCUGCUGCUCUACCAGAAAAGGAUCUUCACACCCACUGUCAAGAGGAAAAAACUGAGGCCCAGAAGGGCCAAAGGCAGUUCGAUCCCAUGGAGCUGAAUCAGUGGCUGAGACAGCUCUGAGCCAUGGGUGCUGCUCCUCGGUGCUUUGUGUUUCCUCACGAUGAACUGGCUUGUGCUGGGACUCCAACUGAAGGCAACAAUAUUUUAAAAUUAAAAUAAACAUUACCAAAGGUAUAUUUUGAGGAAAUUAAUGGUAUAUUGGGGAUACUUGAAAGAAAAGAUAUUAAAUUUCAUGGCCAGUGAUAUCACUUCUCUCCUGUGACCUCAUGCAGACAGAUUCAACACAUAUUUAUUUAAACACUUUAGAGGCAUCUUCAACAUCAGGGAAGCAGAGGAGAGAGUCCCUGAUUCAGUGUAUCAGCAGUGCAGUGACCUGACACACCAGCCACCAUGGCAUAUAUACAGAGCCAAGUUCCAUAAGAAAAAGUGAUGUGGAGGCUCGGAAGGGAAAAGACUCACAUUAGCAUGGAGGUCAGAGAAAUACCAGAAGAAACAGCAACUGAGAUGGGCUUUGUGAGAUGGGAAAGGCAUGAAAGUAGGAAGUAAGGCACCACUUCUUGGGACCCAUGAGUUGCCUAACUGCUAAGGAACAGCUGAGCUUCUAAGCAGAUCCAUGCUAUAAAUGAUGCUGCACUUCUGGGAAAUGAUUUCACUAAAAAACUGCACAAUCAGAGAAGGGAUGGACUGGCAUGCCAUCACUGACUGUGUUGAGAAGGCUUCUGAAGCACAGUCUGGUCAAGGUGAGCGAGCACCACAAGGCAGUCUGUCAUCCCUGGCCUGAAACACUAGACAGUUAACAAGGCGUUAUUCCACCAGUGUAAGCAAAAGGCAUUGUGAGGGCUGGCCUGGGGGUCAAGUGGCAGGAAUAGGACACACUGGAACAAACACAUAAGAUGAUGCAGACACAGAAUGAUGGGAAGGAAGGGAAAAGGAUAAGAAGAAACACGACUAAUACCUUCUGAAUCUCAAUGAGUAGAGGAAUGAUGUGCCAUGAACAGAAACUUUCAGGUCAGGGGAAGAAUGGAUCCUGGGGGAGAAAAUGAGUUUGCAAUCUCAUGGAGAGAUCUGAGAGAAGUUCUUUAAGACAUUUAGAAAGAAGGGGUGGAACUCUGGUGAAAGAUCAGGACCAAGAUUUAACUUACAGAGAAAAGGAGAUUAACAAUUUGGAGUUUUCUGUAUAAUGCUGGCUCUUCAAGAUUUACCCAUAGAUAAACAAACAAACAAACAAACAAAAUAUAUAUAUAAAAAGGAUUUCCCAUCGUGGCACAGCAGAAACGAAUCCGACUAGGAACCAUGAGGUUGCGUGUUCGAUCCAUGGCCUCACUCAGUGGGUUAAGGAUCCUGCAUUGCUGUGGCUUUGGUGUAGGCUGGCAGCUAUAGCUCCAACUGGACCCCUAGCCUGGGAACUUCCAUAUGCCAUAGGUGUGGUCCUAAAAAAAAAAAAAAAAAUUUACCCAUAGAUAAGAUCCUUAAAAGAUGGGUAAUAGAGAAGAAUUUUUAUUUUUUGAAAGUAUAGUUGAUUUACAACGUUACAAUAUUAGCCUCACGUGUACAGCAAAGUGAUUCAGCUAAAUACACACACACACACACACACACACACACUUUUUUUUUUUUCAGAUUUUUUUUCCAUCAUAGGUGAUUACAAGAUAUUAAGUAUAGUUCCCUGUGCUAUACAGGAGGUCCUUGUUGCUUAUCUAUUUUAUAUAGUAGCAGGUAUAUGUUAAUCCCAAAUGCUUAAAAUAUCUCCCCCCUCUUUUCCUUUGGGAACCAUAAGCUUCUUUUCUACUGAGUCUAUUUCUGUUUAUGAAUAAGUUCAUUAGUUUUUAAGAUUCGACAUGUAAGUGCUAUCACAUUUGUCUUUGGCUUACUUCACUUAGUAUGAUAAUCUCUGUGUCCAUCUAUGUUGCUCCAAAUAGAAUUAUUUUCAUUCUCCUUUAUGGCUGAGUAGUACUCCAUUACACACACACACACACACACACACACACACACACACACACACACACACACCCCAUAUCUUCUUUAUCCAUUCCUCUGUCAAGGAACUCUUAGUUGCUUCUAUGUCUUAGCUACUGUAAAUAGUGCUGCAAUGAACACUGAGGCUCAUGUAUCUUUUUGAAUUAUAGUUUUCUCUGGAUUGAAGCCCUGGAGAAUGGCACUUUUAUUUUUAUUUUUUAAAAGAACUUCCAUAGUGGCUGUAUCACUUUACACUCCCACCAGUGGUGUAGGAAGGUUCCUUUGAGAAAAAAAAAAAAAAAA